GUUGUACACAUGGCUUCCAAGAUUUGGUUCUGAAGCAUUCAUUGCAUGCAGGUCUGUGGGGCACCAGAGGAGCGCUUAACUCAGAGACACAUCUUCUUGCUCCCCAUCUACCUGGCCCACCUGGGUCAGAAACAGUGAGUCCAGCAGACAAUGAACCCAGCUGAGGGUACACAAGCCUCACUUUGGGAACCUACAUGGAAGCAUAUUGUGCACAGGGGAGUUCCUGUUCGCACACCACAGUGUUGCAGCAGCCUUCUGAGUCUUUGCCAUGAUACUGCACGUGGUGCCUUCCUGGCUUUGCAGUGCUGGACUACACAGGGAGCUAAAAGAAGACUAAACCCAAGAGUGUGGGACUACUCACCACUCAACUGUAUCUUCUCAAUGUAUUUGUAUUUAUUGAGUACCUGCCAUGCACCAGGAAAAAGUAAUUACUUUUCCACCAACGCCUGAGUGGUUAUUACAAAAGAAAGUCCAUUCUGCUGAUUCUUUGGUUAAUCUUCAGGCAAAGAUUCACAAGCGUUCUUCUCAUACAGAGCGCAAUGAUAUGAACCAUGAAAAUUUCCAAAUGCUGUUUGAAACAGCAGAGGGGCUGCCAUUGCUCUCACCCCAGUCUGACAAAGGAGUAACCCACGGAGUACAGCCCUUUUUUUUGUUGACAGUGAAAUGAUAUGGUCUCUGACUGCCCAAAGUCCAGAUCUGUAAAAAUCUAUAAACUCUGGCAUAUAAGACACCAUGUUCUAAGCCAACCAGUAAACUAACGAGAACCCAGUUUUCCUUGCUUAUGUCACCUGAGGGCAAAACAUCAGUUACAAAGCUCCUGUAAGCAGUGAUGGUAGACAGAAGUGGGACUGUAGCCAAUGAUAUGGCUUCAUAUCAUUGUUUCA
This is a long non-coding RNA of Meriones unguiculatus (Mongolian gerbil), 884 nucleotides long. RefSeq lists it as uncharacterized. The transcript is spliced from 3 exons. NCBI's taxonomy places the organism in Eukaryota, Metazoa, Chordata, Mammalia, Rodentia, Muridae. The record is from RefSeq and is a predicted model, not a curated record.